GCAGAUUUCUGCUUUGGUGAAGGCAGUCUACUAGGUGGAGUAUAUCAACUUUUCACCUAAUGAAUUACCUACAUGUUGUUCCCUCAGUACACAUGUAACCUGCUAUUCUCACCUGAGUGAACCUGCAUUAAUUAGGUUUCUCGUGAUGCUGUGCGUCUGACGUCAUGACGCCUCCGCCUUCUCCAGAAUCUUCUACCUGCAGUUGAGCCGCCAAUUUCUGUCCGACAACGGAAGAAGGUAACAAAGAUACUGAAUCUUCUUUGAAGGUGAGUCAAAGAUAAAGCAAAUAUUUUAAUGUCAGAUAUAAAAUGGUCCAACUGUAGUGUUAAAUUCGUAAAUUUUUAAUAAACUGACUGAACCAAACCAGCUGUCUUACUCAGUCCAGCGAACUUUAGCAAGUUUUAAAUUAGCAUAAUAUUUUAAAUGCAGUUUGCUGGUUUUGUCAAAAGUAUAUUGUUUUAGCUCUGUGUUCAAAUCUGAUGUGUAACACUUCGAGUAAAAUUAUAGCCCACUGAUACUAUAGCUGGUCAGUAAAUUAGCUGUACCUUGCCACUGUGCCAGUAAACGUUAGCAUUCUGCUAGCAUGCUUAGCGUAAGAACUAACCCUACCUUAAAGUUAGCUGUUAAAUAUCAGACCAGUUGGUAGUUUGCGCUUGGACAGGCAGGUCAGUAGUUAGCAGGCGGUACUGUCUUUGUUUAAUAUCGUAACGUUAGCUUAAAGUUGUGUAUUCAUGCAGUGUGUUGGUGUUGGCUUAAUGUUAGUUACUCAUUAGCAUAAGCACAUCAUUGGAGCAUGCUGGGCCCUCGGUUCUCUUCAGACUGCUUCGGGCGCGCUCAUUUAUACAUGAGUGUUGAUUCACAUGCCUGUCGGCGCGCACAGUUCAUGCGGUCACACUUUUUGGAUUGCCCUCAUGGCCACGGGUGAUGUGAAAGACCACCAUGGCUCGUUCGACACCUGCAGGACUGAAGAUUAAUACAGAGUUCCAGAGGCUCAUGGCUGAUCUUCUUGAGGAGAAGUUUGUGGCCCAGUCAGACAUGCACUCAAUUCAGCCGAUCAAAGUCAUCCGUGCUAAAGGAGGAGCAACACGCCAAAAGACUGUGGACACUUUGGACCAGACUGGACAUUAAUCUUCGGAGGGCAUGUGUGCUUAAAGCCCUCACCAUCUUCCUGGGAGAAGAUGCAGAUGACCUGAUCAAGGAAUAUCUUGACUCUGGAGGAGAUGAUGCUCAGAGGGACUUGGAGCAGCUCACCAUGCCAGUGUUUGUCAUUUGGAAGGAGGGGGAAGGACUGCAGGAGCCACCUGAAGGCAUUGGCAUCGUCAUUGAUGGCGUGGAAGUGUUGCAUGAACUGACUUCGGUUGCCUCAGCUUGUGCCCUGCUCCUAGGUUUGAUUCAUGCACUCAACCUAGCUUACCCAAAAGCCCCACUUCACUUUUGAAGUGCUCCAUAAAAUAUUCAUGCAGCUUGAUCAGCGCAGAUGUCCCCCAAAGUCCAUAAUCUGUAUAGCAAACUUCAAAGCUUGCAGUAACGACACACUUCGAUGUAUGCCUCUGCAACAACAAAUGGCCUAGUACCAUAUUGUACUUUCACACAGAUUUUGUAACAGAUUUGGCAGAAGUUUUUUCCAGACAUAUUUCCUUCCAUUUGUAGGGAAAGGAUGCAUUUCAGUUUUGAUAUGUUCAGUUACUCAACAGUUGUGACAGUGUGUAACAGUGUGAUUUAAAACUCUAAAAGAAGUGUUCAUAUUUUUUCAUCUCCAUUGUUCAGUUACACUGUUCUGAUGCAUAAUAUUCAUUGGCUAUAGCUGGUUAAAGAGGUUUCUGUAUACUGUUGGCACUUUUUCAUAGUUGUGAUAACACUAUGUGUUGAGAUUGGUAGGCAUAUUUGUAUAAUACUUUGUACUAUUUUGCACUAUUUUGGACUUUGUUGACAAAAUAAGUGGUCCUACUAACAGUUACUUAUGCAUUUUGUGCAUAUGUGUUUUAAAAAGGACAAAUGUGUAAUGUGAUGGCCCAAAAGCUGUGUUGGUGGCCAUAAAGUUAAUGGUUCUUUACAUUUAUACAAUAAAGUAAAAAAAACAAAAAAACAAACCAAAAAACCAUAUUCAUAUUUUCAGCCAACUUAAAAUUGUAAUUUUAGUUGUAUUAAACUAAAAUUCCAUUUUAAGGUUACUUGACUUGCCUUGAUUUUAAAUUGGAUUAAUGCAAAACAUUGAUUUGAGAACAAUUAAAUUAGUAAGUACAUGUGACUUUGUCAGUUGUGUUAAUCUAUUAAUUUAAUUUCAAAUAACUUAAUUCUUUUAGGUGUUAGCAAUUGAAACAAUUCAAUUAACUUGAUCCAACUAUUUUCUUUUUUCAGUGUAAUAAUGUGUAAUAAUGUAGCGUUUUGUAUGUUAUACAUGAAUGAAUUAACUGGUCUGUGCUAUAUAAUUCCUCAAAUGAAAUGCAUUACUUACCUGCUGCAUCCUAUAAUGUUGAAUUCAAAGUACAGUCUAAUGAUUACAAAAUACAUACUUAUUUUUAAUAUUUUUUGGCAUCUGAAAAGUCAUGGUAAGAGUAAGAGUAAGAAUCUUCAUAUAAGCUGAAAGUUCUGGUUCAGCUUCCUGCCUCUGCUGUUGACUGCUUAAUCCUUAAAGGUAGUACGGCACUGCAGUAGCAUUACACUCACUGAGUGUGGUAGUAACAAGUGCACCAGAGUAAAACUUUAACCAGCACAACAAUGCUUUUCUGACACACAAGAUUUAGUGUGAACUGACCAU
This 2758-nucleotide long non-coding RNA is filed under the name Sparus aurata (gilthead seabream). RNAcentral describes it as "lncRNA (ENSSAUG00010004693.1)". Lineage: Eukaryota; Metazoa; Chordata; Actinopteri; Spariformes; Sparidae. The record is from RNAcentral.